This 486-nucleotide ribosomal RNA is filed under the name uncultured bacterium. RNAcentral's name for it is "bacterial SSU rRNA". It matches the Rfam family "Bacterial small subunit ribosomal RNA", at positions 28 to 526 of the family's 1533-position model. The record is from RNAcentral.
GAUGAACGCUGGCGGCGUGCUUAACACAUGCAAGUCGAACGGUGAAGCCAAGCUUGCUUGGUGGAUCAGUGGCGAACGGGUGAGUAACACGUGAGCAACCUGCCCUGAACUCUGGGAUAAGCGCUGGAAACGGCGUCUAAUACUGGAUACGAGACGUGGCCGCAUGGUCAACGUUUGGAAAGAUUUUUUGGUUCAGGAUGGGCUCGCGGCCUAUCAGCUUGUUGGUGAGGUAAUGGCUCACCAAGGCGUCGACGGGUAGCCGGCCUGAGAGGGUGACCGGCCACACUGGGACUGAGACACGGCCCAGACUCCUACGGGAGGCAGCAGUGGGGAAUAUUGCACAAUGGGCGAAAGCCUGAUGCAGCAACGCCGCGUGAGGGAUGACGGCCUUCGGGUUGUAAACCUCUUUUAGCAAGGAAGAAGCGAAAGUGACGGUACUUGCAGAAAAAGCACCGGCUAACUACGUGCCAGCAGCCGCCGUAAAAC